Molecule: long non-coding RNA, 2541 nt
Organism: Sus scrofa (pig)
Lineage: Eukaryota; Metazoa; Chordata; Mammalia; Artiodactyla; Suidae
Source: RefSeq, a predicted model, not a curated record
GGCAGGCAGCUGUAGCUCCAUUUUGACCCCUAGCCUGGGAACUUCCAUAUGCCACACCUGCAGCCCUAAAAAGCCAAAAAAAAGACUAUAUUUAAAAGUAAUGAAAUUUGUUCUUAAUACACAAUAUUACAAACGCAAAAGAACUAGAAGAUUUUAGUAAGUCAAAUAAGUUUAUCACUUAAGAAAUAGUUAUAUAUACAAUCUCUAUGAAUAUUUAUUGAAUUUCUGAAAUAUCUUAAUUUGAAACAAUACUUUCCAAGUAAACUCAGUAAUAACUGUGUGUAUCUUACAAAUCUUUAUAGAGUACUAGUUAGUUACCACCAUGUAUGACAUUAUGUCUAGAUUUUACAUAACACUAUCAUUAUUUUUAAAAAAGACUUGGUUUGGCAUUUCCCUCAUAGAUUAAAUUAGGCAAUUAGUUAUCAUUCUAAAACUAAGCUGCAAUAUGCAUUAAGUAGUUAAUGACUAUAACAGCCUUACAAUAUACUCUUCACCUAAACCAUUUCUGACUCCACUACUAUAGAACAGUCAGAUUUUUAUCAGAAAACUGAGAUGUCAAGUAAGUUUCUUUAUAUUUGGUACAUUUAAACAUUAUUAUAUGACUUCCUCAAAAGACAUACACUUGUGCUUUUAAACAGCUGAAAUUACUAAAUCACAUUUGUUUUUAAACAAAGGCGUUAUGCAUAACGAUCGCCAUGAGGAAACAAAAGACUAAUAUAAUCAUCGUAUUCAAUUUACCACUGACGUCAAAAAACAAACCAAAAAGCCCCCCAGAUGAUCAUACUCCAAACUCUUGAAUUUCCUCUGACAUAAAAAUAUUCCCAAUAAAAUAUAUUACCAGCAAUGACACAAUUCCUAAAAUUCAUCUCUUCAAAUACAAGCAUAUUUAUCUACAAAGCACACAGAUUUUCUUCUACCUGUUACGUAGAAAAAUCCUCCCAACUUUCAUUGUUCCAUUUUUCUUGCAUUAUCUAGCUGCACGGCUGGCUCUUUAAUAUCCGUAUGCUAAUGACUCCAGGUUAGUAACACAUUCAUUCCUGGUUACAGUUUAACCUACCAUGUUAGAUUUUUCUGAGUGUGUGCGUCCCAUCAGCAUUUAUGUGACUUGCUGUGAUGUCAUCUAUCUAUAUGCAAACAUGCCGACUGAAGUUAGUCAGUUUCUUAUUUUAACAAGGGCGUACAUUUGCUUUCAGAUGUUUAAACUCUUUUCAUCCGAGCUGGAGGGUGAGCAAUCAGGCAGGGUGGGAAGACACACAACAUUACAAUCCUUGCACUGCACACAGAGAAUCCACAGGCACUUCCACAAACAUGUCUGUCAGCCCCAGGGGACUGUGCACAGUCACGUUACCAGCCAUGACAGGUCAGCCAGCCCCGUUAUCUGUGCCGCCUGGCACACCUGAGCGCCCUGCCCCAACGUCACAAGCCGGAGCAGCUUGGGAGGGAACUGCUGGCACAGGCUGUGGUCCAGGGAGUCCUCCCCCACUACCUCUCCAUGGCAACCGCAGCUACAGGAAAGCCAGUCCACCUCUUACGCAAAUGAAAAGAGGCCACAAAUGUCAGCAGUCACAACAUCCCCCCCCUUUCCCUCCCUGCUUAAUUUCUGUCUUAAAGUAACAGCACUGCAUUCUUCUUCUUUUGCAUUUUGGAACACCUUCCACCGCUUAAGGGAUGGGCAAGCAAUUUAGGAAGAUCAGAGUUAAAAAAUCCGUCCGUAUGACCACUUACAUAACGUAACUGAGACUCCAAAGAUGAUCACGGUUUGCUGAGUUUCAUUUACCAUGCCAGCGUCUUGGACAGACUCGGAGGAGGAAAGACCAUCCAUUAUGACAACCAAGAGAAACACUCAGUACUCAGCAUGCAUUGUUUCUUCUGCAAGUUCGUAUUUAUUUAGAAAAAUCAAGGAUGCAUCAAAAUAUCAAAUUCCAUAAACUGUCAACCAACAUGUGAUUAACUAUUGAUAACAGUUCCAACUGAGAGUGCACAGAGCAAGCUCCCACUGGUGGCUGAUGAAUGAUAAAAACGUGGUUCCUUUGACGGCCUCUAAAGAUGCAUUUUCCAAGGAAAAAUAAAUUAGAAACCACAACAGGUGAUGAUUCACAUGAAAAAAACAAUACAACAGAAUAAUCAGUAAAAAUUUUUAAUAUACUCAGGUGUGUGGAGACACUUUUUUUUUAACUGUCCCAGGCAUGAAAAGGGCAGUUUUAAAACUUCCAUUAUUGAUUUAUUUAGCAAACAUUUGCCAACAUGCGAGGCACCCCUAAGGUUUCAGGACAGACAUGAGGCAUUUUCAUAAAGGACUGCUCUUGGGUGGUGGGCACUGUCCCUCAUCAAGUCUGGCCCAGGGUUCUGGAAAAUUCCCAAGGGCGAGGGGCUUGAAAAGAGGUCUGAAUCCACUGCAGAAGUGGAAUCAAGAGGUUCUGGGCAAAAAAGAAACUCAUGGACUUGGAGAAUAGACUUGUGGUUGCCAAGGGGGAGGGGGAGGGGGUGGGAUGGAUCCAGAACAUGGGGUUAAUAGAUGCAGACUGUUGCCUUUGGAAUGGA